This 468-nucleotide ribosomal RNA is filed under the name uncultured bacterium. RNAcentral's name for it is "bacterial SSU rRNA". It matches the Rfam family "Bacterial small subunit ribosomal RNA", at positions 28 to 507 of the family's 1533-position model. The record is from RNAcentral.
GACGAACGCUGGCGGCGCGCCUAACACAUGCAAGUCGAACGGAGAAGAGACAGCUUGCUGGAUCUUCUUAGUGGCGGACGGGUGAGUAACACGUGAGCAACCUACCCCUCAGAGUGGAAUAACGUUUGGAAACGAACGCUAAUACCGCAUAACAUCAUUGGAUGGCAUCAUUCGAUGAUCAAAGAUUUAUCGCUGAGGGAUGGGCUCGCGUCCGAUUAGGUAGUUGGUGAGAUAACAGCCCACCAAGCCGACGAUCGGUAGCCGGACUGAGAGGUUGAACGGCCACAUUGGGACUGAGACACGGCCCAGACUCCUACGGGAGGCAGCAGUGGGGGAAUAUUGCGCAAUGGGGGCAACCCUGACGCAGCAACGCCGCGUGAAGGAUGAAGGUCUUCGGAUCGUAAACUUUUGUCUUAGUGAAGAGAAUGACGGUAGCUAAGGNGAAAAGCCCAACGGGCUAACUACGUG